Molecule: long non-coding RNA, 8711 nt
Filed under: Zea mays
Lineage: Eukaryota; Viridiplantae; Streptophyta; Magnoliopsida; Poales; Poaceae
Description: long non-coding RNA (ZMAY_LNC004101)
Source: RNAcentral
UUCCUCUCGUCGUGAUCCUUUUCUGCUCGUCCUCAGCAUGAAGCCACGCCCAGCGCCUACGUCGACCAUCUCCCUGGCGCACCUCCCUGCUCCAUCCAUCAGACGCCAGUACUCAUGCCAAGCCAUCCUCCUCUCUCAGUUCAUCGGACGUCGAUCUCCGUUGCACUUGUCUCCCUCAAUGCUCUCCACUGUACGCCCAGUUGUCUCGAACCUCAUCGUCGUUUCUCAUCUACAAUCUCGUCAGCCUCUGCUCGACAUGUGUUUGGUGAAGAGCCUGAGCCAAGUGUUGUUGCUGCUUCCAGGGAUUCAUAAUUAAAUUGGUAAUAGUACUCUAGCUCGCUACUCCUACUAAUUAAUUCGAUGAAUAGAUUACUAAUUAAUUCGAUGAAUAGAUUGGAUGGAUAUUAAUUGCGAUGCUCGAAUCAGAUACUUAUAAUGUGCUAUAGUAAUUAUCUGUAUUUUAUUGUAUAUGUUUGCUGUUAGGUUAUUUCUCUACGGGAUAGGAUAUUGUGUUUCGCUUAUUUAAUCACGUUCGGUACGUAGACUUGUUAGGUGUUCGAGGAAUUGUCGGAAUUAGAAAUCGUUGCUGUUAACGGGUGUUGAGUGAAAUAUGGUCGCAAUGAGCCGUGUCGUUUUUGCUGCUAUUAGAAUUGAUGAAUGGAUGUGUCUAGUAUUAUUGAAUUAGUUCGAUGAAUGUGAUGGGAUUAUUUUCAUGAUUUAGAGUAGUCGCGUUGAGUGCUAUUGUUAGGUUUGAGAUGCUAAUUAUGUGACGCACGGUAAAUUAGUGAAUGAAGUUUAAAUUUAGUAUUUUAAAAAUGUCUAAUCGGGGAACCGUCGUCGCCCUCAAGGUUAUCGGGUCGAUUCGAUCAGGGUAAGCUGAUCUAUUAUUCCUGCUAGUUAAAUCUAGUAAAACUAGAAAAAUCAUGAUUGUUGUGUUUAGUGAGUUAUAGAUGUCUAGUGCUUACGUAGGAUUAUGUCGAUGUCUUGCCGCUAAAUAAGUGAUUCUCUUUUUUGUAUCAUCCGGUUACUUUAUGCUCAUACAUGUGCAUUGUGUAUCUCAUGAGGUACGAUAAUUAAUCCCGUGAGGCGAAGGAAAAGAGUUAAGUCGACCCCAAGCGCGGGCUAAUCCGCAGGAUGAUGCUGAUGAACGAACUGGAAGAUGGAUAAUCUGAACGAGUGCCAAGCCAAAGGAUGCUCGCCAAGUGGUCGCCAUCUAACAAACACUAACCUAGUGUUCUUCCAGGCAAGCCCCAGUGCAUUUGCCCCUUCCUUGUGUUUUAAAUGCUUUUUCACCUUAUCUGAUGCAUUAGGUGAUAGGAGUUGUGUGAUGAACAAUUGAUGCAUUACCAUUCCUUGGAAACUCCUUAAUCCCGCUUUUAUAAAAAAGAACUGAUAAUGCUUAGCCCUGCUUAGAAACUAAAAAUCAUUUGUUUUCAAAAAGAAUGAUUGUGGAACAUUGGUUAUGGGCCUUUCGUUUCAAAAAUCAAAGCAAACUUAUGGUGAUGAUUCCACUUCGGCCGGAGUGGGUUCAUCAUUCGGAAAAGAGUACCCCUGCCGGGUACCAAAAAUGGGAAAAUGGUUUGAAUACAUCUAGACCAGACGCUGAGCGGACAAGGUCGCCUGUCUGUGUCGAUUAAGGACCGUUCGAUGUAGGCCUGUUGUGGUGGAGACUUUGCAACUAGCCACAUGCUCCGGUAAGCCUGAACCCGGCUAUUCCAUACGUGAAAAGACAACCGCGCACUGGGCGUGGGAGAUGGUGGGAGUAGCAUGUACCCUCCUAGCUAGAGGCUGGAUGGAGGAGUACUGUGCUCCCGGGUAGCGCGGACCAGUUCACGUUGUGGAGGAUCUGUGGGAACGGUUGACAUAUGCAAGGGUUAAGUGCUACAUAUGUCGUGUGGUUAGGGAUCCCCAGCUGGGUAUAAUCGGUUCGAAUCGUCGUUGCUCCGCGGUCAUGGAGACUCUACCCUCCGACCACUCAUCGUAGUUGACAAGUGAAAUAUGAAUUAGCUAAAAGAAAGCUAGACCAGGACAAGUGGAUGCUCUAGAUUAGGCAAAUCUAGAUUCAGGGAAAGUACUUAACUUGUGAAGUAAAAUUUUGGCAUAAGGAUUCACUACUAGUAAGCUCUUCUGCAAAAUGAGUCCUUGAAAUUUGAUAAGCCUUACCUUGAUUCCUAAUGAGCCAUCAUAUCCUUGAGAGUCUUUUCUUUAGUCGGGUAAGUCUUGCUGAGUAAUUCCAUACUCAGGGUUUUAUUCCCUGUUGUUUUUUCAGGUCAUAGUUUUGUGCUGCUGAUGGUGGUGUUAAGUGCCGGUGGGCUCGGCCUUCUUAUAAGUCUAAGUAACCCUUCUAUACUUCUUAUUGAGGGUGGUCACUUGAGCUACCAUAUAUUUCAAACUUAUACUUUCGUAAUCACUCCGAUGAAUAUAAUGUAAAAUUUUUGUAACUUGUAAACUUUGGUAAUAAGAUUUCCGCUGCAAAAAUAUUGAUGUGUGUGAUUUGUGUUACUUAAUCCUGUGGUCCUGGUUGUAAGUGGUUUAUCCGAUGUCCUUGGGGCAAUCGGACGGAUCCUAUUAAGUUAUCUGGUGCACAUGCAGAGCCGUCUGAGGUCUUUGAGACAAGGACAGGUGCAUGUGGGCCCGAUAACUUGGGAGGUUCUGCCACAGCUGGUAUCGGAGCGGGAUUAAGUAUAUACGGUCACAUACGUAUUUUCAAAACAAAAGUUUUGGUUUUAGAAAACCUAUUUUCAACUAAACACAUUGUUUGGCUUUGAAAAACAGUUUUGAAAAACUAUAAUGCUAGCGACAUCCUCUGUUAAGCCCUAUAUUAAGGACUAUCAGGUGGCUUAGUUCAAAACCAGUAACCCACAACCGGGGGUAUUGCAUACAUGUGUAUUGUUAUUUUUGAGGCCAUUCAGUCUUGAAUGGAUCGACGCUCAGGUAAGGUGAGAUGUGAGAGCAUGACCGAACAACCGUCGGUCUAGGGAAGUGCUUAAUUGUGGCGCUUGAUUAUAUACAUGUUACACAUAUGUAUAUAUGAAGGCUGCGAUGUGGAGUAUUUAAUUUUUUUGGAAUUCAGUACCCCAUGGAGGUGUAUGGGUAUACAGACAUGGGAAUACUGAGAAGUGUAAUGUACUUGUAACGACGCACCUACGCUCAGGUAAGAAAGUGAGUUACCAUAAUGAGUUGCCCUAUGGUUAAAGUGUGGCAACGGCGCCUAUGCGUGGCUCGGCGCUUAAUGAUGAGCUAGCCUCCAUAUAGCAAUAUAUGGAGUAUAAACUGUGAUAAACUGUCAUGUCUGAACUGCAUCAUGGGAAAUUGGGCUGUGAUGAAAAUUUUCUGCAGGUACACUAACCUCGAAAACGUAUGUGUAGCUGACGACUAGCAAAAUACCGUGAGAGUCGUAAGUAUGCCACCGAUAUAGAACGUUAUUGCCACAGUAAGUUGGCGAAACUCGUGAGGACGCAUAAGACGAGCAUGCAUCCUGAUUGUUGCAUUAUGUUUGUCACCUAUACACCCAAGAUGCUUCUCUCAUCUUUAUUCCAGUAACUAGUGAUUGUAGAUAGUGUUGUGUUAUGAACCCCAAUGAAAUAGGUGUCCUCCAUUCUUUAGGUAAUAAGUUUAGGUGCUAUAUGUGUUUGCUCUUGUGCUUGAUGUGUCGAUAGAAGGUUAGUGACUUGUUUGCCUAAACCCAAAGUUAGGCCAUGUUCUUAUUUAGUGAACCACAACCCAAAUUUGAAAUUGUUCAUGACCAAACUCAUACAAAUAAAUGCGUAGAUAAUUUCCUUAUUGGACGUAAAGUGUACCCAAGCUUAAAACAAGAAUCUCAAGUCAUGUUUCCAACCAAAACCAUUCCCUUGUUUAGUUGGUGCAAGCUGAUGUACCUUAUCCAGUUUGCGUGUUCUUGAAUAUUGUCGUGUUGUUUUACCAUCUUAAUUUAGGAAAGCAUGUCCGACCAUUUUCUUAAGUUUGAUGCCUUUGGUUUCCCUAUACUUAUCGAAGGCAUACCAACUUAAUCUUAUGAUUGUUUUUCCCCCGUAUCUAAUCAGAUACUGAUCCUUGACCUUCUAAUCUCUAUGAUGGGCAUACAAAUAUGCUUGGGGCUGAAUUAACAGUCUCCCAUCGUACUCCUUUCAUUAACAAGUUUAGGUUAUGGCCAUGUCUUGUUCAUUUCAUCGGGCCAUAAUCUAUUUGGCUCUCUACUUGUAACCAUACUUACAGGUGGAGUAUUUCUUUGUAUAUUAUCACCUUGCUCAAUCCAUUUGUGUGGCGCGAGAUUUCUUAUUGGUUACGUCUGGUAAUGGUGUUAUGACUAAAACCGAUGGUGCCGCGACGAGACCGAGGGCCUCCUGUGAAUGUACACACAUGGUUGUGCUGCUCGGCGCACGCUAGUAUCAUGGUUAGUAGUUGUAAUCCAUUAUGAGACUAUAUCAAUGUGUUAUCUUAGCACAAUCUGUUUUUGCUACGUGAGAUUCAUUAUUGGUGCCAGUUUUGUAAUGGUGUCAUGGUUAGGAACUUAUGGUACCGCGGCGAAACUAAGAGCCCCUUGUGAAUGUACACGCAAGGUUCUACUGCUUGGCGCAUGCCGAUAUCGAAGUCUCUAGUCAUGAUCCGUUAUAGAAUUACACUGGUGUGUUAUCUUCCGUGGAUAUCUUCUUUGAAACGAUUUGUAUGUUGUUUGUCAAGUGAUCAAGCAACAUCUAUCAUCUCUGUUGGAUCAAAAGGUAAUACCCCUUUCAUGUGUGGUCUCUUUUCCUUGACUUUGAUGGUGACUUCACACAUACACUUUCCCUUUGCAUCCUUUGUGUAAAGGUGAAGCCUUGAAGCUUUUUAGUGUUGGAAGACAACUGAUUAGCUCUCAAAAUGGAGAUCUAUUUUCCCUGUCGUUGAGAUGCAGGAGUUUGAUCAUUCACUCUCUUAUUAAUCCCUAUAUUCUUUAACCAAGUGGAUAAUUCAUCUCGCAUGAAGAAAUGGAUGAACAACCUGACCAAAUGGAUUUCUACCCAAAUGCUUGAUCUCCUGCUAGUAAAUGUGAACUCUCAACCCUUGGCUUACCGAUGGUACUGAGAGGACCUGCUCAAUGUAAAAAGUAGUUCAACAAGUUGGUUUUACUAACUUGUAACUGCCUUGUGAACAAAGGUGGAGUUUAGAGAUCGUUUUAUCGAGUUGUCUAAACUCACUUUGACUCAACCCACCCUAAAGAAAGUAAUUACAAGAAUUGAGAUUAAGUCGGCCAGUAACCACCUAAUCAUCUCUCUAGUCAUGUCUCGAUCGCCUCACGUAUGGUUUUCCGAUGUGUGUGAUCAGGUCGAGCCAUGCCUAGUGCUCGAUAAAAUGGAUUGGUUGCGAAGUCAACAUCAACGGAUCUCUUCAUUGAUAUUUUCCGAGUCUCCAUCAUUUUCUUGGACUUGGAUUCUCUGGCUAACACGAGUUAACGGUGAUGUUACUCGACAUUCACACCCGUCUCGUGUGCUAUGAACUUAUCGCGACCACUUGUUGGUAAACCUCCUUCUGUGUGUUUUACCCAAGAUGGUGCAUCUGAGUCUGUUUAGGUAAAGUUGCAGAUCUAUCGCUCGCUCAGCAGACUCAGAUAGUACAGUGUCAUCAGAAAAAGCAAACUGCACACAUGGAACCUUAUGUGUUCCCAGGGCAGACAUCGUCUCUAUUGGUGGACAUCUCUAAAUUAGCUUGUGAUGAUACAUGCUAUAUCCACUAAAGGAACCCUAUUCUGAGAUACUCGCCUUCGCUGGAGACUGCCUUAUGAUUGUCGCUGGUAUAGACAUGGGUUACAUGCUUCUCUACUCUUAAAAGUCUUUCGCUCCGAAUCUCGGGACGAGAUUCUUUUAAGGGGAGAGGGCUGUAACACCCCAGAUGUUACUGUACGUCAACAGCGAUUAUGGAUUUAAGCGCGGGAUAUCAGUAAAUAAAGUGGACACUGCAUUUUUAUCAUCUCGCAAAGGUUCGAGCUUGGUGUCGUAUUUAAUUCCGUAAUCUACGCAAUUAAAAAGGGGUUGAGAAACUCUUGGAUUAUCAAAUCUUUGUUUGCUAGCAAAUUUUGAACUGUUCGGAUCACGCUCGUAAGUGAAUACAAAAAUCAGAAGGCUUCUGAUUUUAUGUAAAAUCUGGAACCCACGCUAUCCGAAAAGAACAAUGCGCCAGCACAUUAAGUGAAUCGUUCCUCUCAACAUGUGAUCAUUGGUGUUUAAUCAAAUGAUCGACCGCUGGUGAGGAUCGUAAAAAUUAGACGAAACUAAUUAACAGUCUCUCUGUCUUAAUCUGUUUCGUCUGUCGUUAGUUCGACGUCAUUUUUAUCUAUCCGGGCUUUUCCAAAAUUUUCGUGAUGUUCGGAACAUAAUUGUUCCGAAAAUCAGCGAGUCUAGUGAUUAUUCAAAAUUCAUUGAUCGCGCACAUACGAAUUUGGAAAUAUAGUUCAGCCCUUUGAGUUCAUUCCAAAUAAAUUAAUUAGGACUCGAUGAUAAAAGUAUUAAUGUAAAAUUAAAUUGGACCGAGAUAAUCAGAGCCGAAAUCGAAUAAUUCUUAAUCAAUUUGGUUUCAACUGAGAUCAACCACAGACUAAAAUAUUGAAGGCAAUGUCGUUUAGUAUGGUCUAUAAACACCUCACCUGAACCAAUUUCUAGGACACAUAUUUAUCCACAUGUUUUUAUAAAAAAAGAGAAGAAAAAUUCUAUUUUUCUUUCACCAUUUUAUAUCCCCAGCAUUAUCUCUUCUCAUCAUCACUCCUCUCAUCUAAUGGGUAGCGCUCUUUGAUUUUUUAGCCACCGCUUUGCACUUCUGCAUUAUCCCCCGACGCCGCUUUAAUCCCAGUUCCAUCUCUCGUAGCUGUACUUGGUCUUAUCCGUGUACAGAGUUCGUUCAUCUCUCCAACACGACAUCCCUCUCCAGCUCAUUCCAGCGCACUGCACCUUUUGCUCGAUGUCGUCCCCAGCUCCUUCAAGCAGCUGACAUCUAGAUUCUUUUCCUCACUCGGCCAUGGUGUCCAAUACCUCACCAUGUGUUUGCUCCCGACCACGCACUUCCUGCAAGCUGCUAAGCCAUAUCCCCUUCGAGCUCCUCUUUCAUGGUGCCGAGCCCUCUUCACUCGCUAUCUCUCUGCUCAGAGUGUCGCAGUCCCUGGUUGGGCUCCGCCCUCGCUGGAGCCCGGCGGUCGCCGUGGUCUCGGAUGCUGUCUUUAUCUUCCAUGGUGUUUGUCGUGAGCUCCACGUACGGCUCCGGCCAUCGUUCCUCUCGUCGUGAUCCUUUUCUGCUCGUCCUCAGCAUGAAGCCACGCCCAGCGCCUACGUCGACCAUCUCCCUGGCGCACCUCCCUGCUCCAUCCAUCAGACGCCAGUACUCAUGCCAAGCCAUCCUCCUCUCUCAGUUCAUCGGACGUCGAUCUCCAUUGCACUUGUCUCCCUCAGUGCUCUCCACUGUACGCCCAGUCGUCUCGAACCUCAUCGUCGUUUCUCAUCUACAAUCUCGUCAGCCUCUGCUCGACAUGUGUUUGGUGAAGCUGAGCCAAGUGUUGUUGCUGCUUCCAGGGAUUUAUAAUUAAAUUGGUAAUAGUACUCUAGCUCGCUACUCCUACUAAUUAAUUCGAUGAAUAGAUUACUAAUUAAUUCGAUGAAUAGAUUGGAUGGAUAUUAAUCGCGACGCUCGAAUCAGAUACUUAUAAUGUGCUAUAGUAAUUAUCUGUCUUUUAUUGUAUAUGUUUGCUGUUAGGUUAUUUCUCUACGGGAUAGGAUAUUGUGUUUCGCUUAUUUAAUCACGUCCGGUACGUAGACUUGUUAGGUGUUCGAGGAAUUGUCGGAAUUAGAAAUCGUUGCUGUUAACGGGUGUCGAGUCAAAUAUGGUCGCAAUGAGCUGUGUCGUUUUUGCUGCUAUUAGAAUUGAUGAAUGGAUGUGUCUAGUAUUAUUGAAUUAGUUCGAUGAAUGUGAUGUGAUUAUUUUCAUGAUUUAGAGUAGUCGCGUUGAGUGCUAUUGUUAGGUUUGAGAUGUUAAUUAUGUGACACACGGUAAAUUAGUGAAUGAAGUUUAAAUUUAGUAUUUUAAAAUGUCUAAUCGGGGAACCAUCGUCGCCCUCAAGGUUAUCGGGUCGAUUCGAUCAGGGUAAGCUGAUCUAUUAUUCCUGCUAGUUAAAUCUAGUAAAACUAGAAAAAUCAUGAUUGUUGUGUUUAGUGAGUUAUAGAUGUCUAGUGCUUACGUAGGAUUAUGUCGAUGUCUUGCCGCUAAAUAAGUGAUUCUCUUUUAUGUAUCAUCCGGUUACUUUAUGCUCAUACAUGUGCAUUGUGCAUCUCAUGAGGUACGAUAAUUAAUCACGUGAGGCGAAGGAAAAGAGUUAAGUCGACCCCAAGCGCGGGCUAAUCCGCAGGAUGAUGCUGAUGAACGAACCGGAAGAUGGAUAAUAUGAACGAGUGCCAAGCCAAAGGAUGCUCGCCAAGUGGUCGCCAUCUAACAAACACUAACCUAGUGUUCUUCCAGGCAAGCACCGGUGCAUUUGCCUCUUCCUUGUGUUUUAAAUGCUUUUUCACCUUAUCUGAUGCAUUAGGUGAUAGGAGUUGUGUGAUGAACAAUUGAUGCAUUACCAUUCCUUGGAAACUCCUUAAUCCGGGUUUUAUAAAAAGAACUGAUAAUGCUUAGCCCUGCUUAGAAACUAAAAAAUCAUUUGUUUUCAAAAAGAAUGAUUGUGGAACAUUGGUUAUGGGCCUUUCAUUUCAAAA